RNAcentral lists this ribosomal RNA (468 nucleotides) under uncultured bacterium. Its description in RNAcentral is "partial 16S ribosomal RNA". It matches the Rfam family "Bacterial small subunit ribosomal RNA", at positions 28 to 507 of the family's 1533-position model. The record is from RNAcentral.
GACGAACGCUGGCGGUGUGCUUAACACAUGCAAGUCGAACGGUAAGGCCCUUUCGGGGGUACACGAGUGGCGAACGGGUGAGUAACACGUGAGUAACCUGCCCUCAUCUCUGGGAUAACAGUCGGAAACGGUUGCUAAUACUGGAUAUGAGCUUGCAAGGCAUCUUGUGGGUUGGAAAGAUUUUUUUUGGUUGGGGAUGGACUCGCGGCCUAUCAGCUUGUUGGUGAGGUAGUGGCUCACCAAGGCUUCGACGGGUAGCCGGCCUGAGAGGGCGACCGGCCACAUUGGGACUGAGAUACGGCCCAAACUCCUACGGGAGGCAGCAGGGGGGAAUAUUGCACAAUGGACGGAAGUCUGAUGCAGCAACGCCGCGUGCGGGAUGACGGCCUUCGGGUUGUAAACCGCUUUCAAUUGUGACGAAGCUUUUUUGUGACGGUAGCAGUAGAAGAAGCACCGGCUAACUACGUG